RNAcentral lists this unclassified non-coding RNA (245 nucleotides) under Hevea brasiliensis (rubber tree). Lineage: Eukaryota; Viridiplantae; Streptophyta; Magnoliopsida; Malpighiales; Euphorbiaceae. The record is from RNAcentral.
CAUAAGCAGCAAAUAAGAGCUUUAUAUGUAAUAGGAUCGGGUUUGAGAUUCCCACGAACCAUCUCAGUUUUUACAAGAAUUGCAUCAGCUACACUAUCAUUUUUGCAGAGAGAUUGAAUGAGUUUGUUGUAGAUUUCCACACCAGGCACAUAACCACGCUGAGAGAUUCUUUCCAUAAGACUCUUUGCUGCAAACGGCCGAUCCUCCUUGCAGACAGAAACUAUUAGAUAAUCAUAAAUAUCCCA